RNAcentral lists this ribosomal RNA (434 nucleotides) under uncultured bacterium. RNAcentral's name for it is "partial 16S ribosomal RNA". It matches the Rfam family "Bacterial small subunit ribosomal RNA", at positions 29 to 507 of the family's 1533-position model. The record is from RNAcentral.
AGCGAACGCUGGCGGCAGGCCUAACACAUGCCAGUCGAACGAACCUUUCGGGGUUAGUGGCGGACGGGUGAGUAACACGUGGGAACGUGCCUUUAGGUUCGGAAUAACUCAGGGAAACUUGUGCUAAUACCGAAUGUGCCCUUCGGGGGAAAGAUUUAUCGCCUUUAGAGCGGCCCGCGUCUGAUUAGCUAGUUGGUUGAGGUAAUGGCUCACCAAGGCGACGAUCAGUAGCUGGUCUGAGAGGAUGAUCAGCCACAUUGGGACUGAGACACGGCCCAAACUCCUACGGGAGGCAGCAGUGGGGAAUCUUGCGCAAUGGGCGAAAGCCUGACGCAGCCAUGCCGCGUGAAUGAUGAAGGUCUUAGGAUUGUAAAAUUCUUUCACCGAGGACGAUAAUGACGGUACCCGGAGAAGAAGCCCCGGCUAACUUCGUG